GGUUAAGCGACUAAGCGUACACGGUGGAUGCCCUGGCAGUCAGAGGCGAUGAAGGACGUGCUAAUCUGCGAUAAGCGUCGGUAAGGUGAUAUGAACCGUUAUAACCGGCGAUUUCCGAAUGGGGAAACCCAGUGUGUUUCGACACACUAUCAUUAACUGAAUCCAUAGGUUAAUGAGGCGAACCGGGGGAACUGAAACAUCUAAGUACCCCGAGGAAAAGAAAUCAACCGAGAUUCCCCCAGUAGCGGCGAGCGAACGGGGAGCAGCCCAGAGCCUGAAUCAGUGUGUGUGUUAGUGGAAGCGUCUGGAAAGGCGCGCGAUACAGGGUGACAGCCCCGUACACAAAAAUGCACAUGCUGUGAGCUCGAUGAGUAGGGCGGGACACGUGGUAUCCUGUCUGAAUAUGGGGGGACCAUCCUCCAAGGCUAAAUACUCCUGACUGACCGAUAGUGAACCAGUACCGUGAGGGAAAGGCGAAAAGAACCCCGGCGAGGGGAGUGAAAAAGAACCUGAAACCGUGUACGUACAAGCAGUGGGAGCACGCUUAGGCGUGUGACUGCGUACCUUUUGUAUAAUGGGUCAGCGACUUAUAUUCUGUAGCAAGGUUAACCGAAUAGGGGAGCCGAAGGGAAACCGAGUCUUAACUGGGCGUUAAGUUGCAGGGUAUAGACCCGAAACCCGGUGAUCUAGCCAUGGGCAGGUUGAAGGUUGGGUAACACUAACUGGAGGACCGAACCGACUAAUGUUGAAAAAUUAGCGGAUGACUUGUGGCUGGGGGUGAAAGGCCAAUCAAACCGGGAGAUAGCUGGUUCUCCCCGAAAGCUAUUUAGGUAGCGCCUCGUGAAUUCAUCUCCGGGGGUAGAGCACUGUUUCGGCAAGGGGGUCAUCCCGACUUACCAACCCGAUGCAAACUGCGAAUACCGGAGAAUGUUAUCACGGGAGACACACGGCGGGUGCUAACGUCCGUCGUGAAGAGGGAAACAACCCAGACCGCCAGCUAAGGUCCCAAAGUCAUGGUUAAGUGGGAAACGAUGUGGGAAGGCCCAGACAGCCAGGAUGUUGGCUUAGAAGCAGCCAUCAUUUAAAGAAAGCGUAAUAGCUCACUGGUCGAGUCGGCCUGCGCGGAAGAUGUAACGGGGCUAAACCAUGCACCGAAGCUGCGGCAGCGACACUGUGUGUUGUUGGGUAGGGGAGCGUUCUGUAAGCCUGUGAAGGUGUGCUGUGAGGCAUGCUGGAGGUAUCAGAAGUGCGAAUGCUGACAUAAGUAACGAUAAAGCGGGUGAAAAGCCCGCUCGCCGGAAGACCAAGGGUUCCUGUCCAACGUUAAUCGGGGCAGGGUGAGUCGACCCCUAAGGCGAGGCCGAAAGGCGUAGUCGAUGGGAAACAGGUUAAUAUUCCUGUACUUGGUGUUACUGCGAAGGGGGGACGGAGAAGGCUAUGUUGGCCGGGCGACGGUUGUCCCGGUUUAAGCGUGUAGGCUGGUUUUCCAGGCAAAUCCGGAAAAUCAAGGCUGAGGCGUGAUGACGAGGCACUACGGUGCUGAAGCAACAAAUGCCCUGCUUCCAGGAAAAGCCUCUAAGCAUCAGGUAACAUCAAAUCGUACCCCAAACCGACACAGGUGGUCAGGUAGAGAAUACCAAGGCGCUUGAGAGAACUCGGGUGAAGGAACUAGGCAAAAUGGUGCCGUAACUUCGGGAGAAGGCACGCUGAUAUGUAGGUGAAGCGACUUGCUCGUGGAGCUGAAAUCAGUCGAAGAUACCAGCUGGCUGCAACUGUUUAUUAAAAACACAGCACUGUGCAAACACGAAAGUGGACGUAUACGGUGUGACGCCUGCCCGGUGCCGGAAGGUUAAUUGAUGGGGUUAGCGCAAGCGAAGCUCUUGAUCGAAGCCCCGGUAAACGGCGGCCGUAACUAUAACGGUCCUAAGGUAGCGAAAUUCCUUGUCGGGUAAGUUCCGACCUGCACGAAUGGCGUAAUGAUGGCCAGGCUGUCUCCACCCGAGACUCAGUGAAAUUGAACUCGCUGUGAAGAUGCAGUGUACCCGCGGCAAGACGGAAAGACCCCGUGAACCUUUACUAUAGCUUGACACUGAACAUUGAGCCUUGAUGUGUAGGAUAGGUGGGAGGCUUUGAAGUGUGGACGCCAGUCUGCAUGGAGCCGACCUUGAAAUACCACCCUUUAAUGUUUGAUGUUCUAACGUUGACCCGUAAUCCGGGUUGCGGACAGUGUCUGGUGGGUAGUUUGACUGGGGCGGUCUCCUCCUAAAGAGUAACGGAGGAGCACGAAGGUUGGCUAAUCCUGGUCGGACAUCAGGAGGUUAGUGCAAUGGCAUAAGCCAGCUUGACUGCGAGCGUGACGGCGCGAGCAGGUGCGAAAGCAGGUCAUAGUGAUCCGGUGGUUCUGAAUGGAAGGGCCAUCGCUCAACGGAUAAAAGGUACUCCGGGGAUAACAGGCUGAUACCGCCCAAGAGUUCAUAUCGACGGCGGUGUUUGGCACCUCGAUGUCGGCUCAUCACAUCCUGGGGCUGAAGUAGGUCCCAAGGGUAUGGCUGUUCGCCAUUUAAAGUGGUACGCGAGCUGGGUUUAGAACGUCGUGAGACAGUUCGGUCCCUAUCUGCCGUGGGCGCUGGAGAACUGAGGGGGGCUGCUCCUAGUACGAGAGGACCGGAGUGGACGCAUCACUGGUGUUCGGGUUGUCAUGCCAAUGGCACUGCCCGGUAGCUAAAUGCGGAAGAGAUAAGUGCUGAAAGCAUCUAAGCACGAAACUUGCCCCGAGAUGAGUUCUCCCUGACUCCUUGAGAGUCCUGAAGGAACGUUGAAGACGACGACGUUGAUAGGCCGGGUGUGUAAGCGCAGCGAUGCGUUGAGCUAACCGGUACUAAUGAACCGUGAGGCUUAACCUU
RNAcentral lists this ribosomal RNA (2903 nucleotides) under Escherichia coli. Its description in RNAcentral is "23S ribosomal RNA". It matches the Rfam family "Bacterial large subunit ribosomal RNA". Lineage: Bacteria; Pseudomonadati; Pseudomonadota; Gammaproteobacteria; Enterobacterales; Enterobacteriaceae. The record is from RNAcentral.